Molecule: ribosomal RNA, 253 nt
Filed under: uncultured bacterium
Lineage: Bacteria
Description: partial 16S ribosomal RNA
Rfam family: Bacterial small subunit ribosomal RNA
Source: RNAcentral
UACAGAGGGUGCGAGCGUUGUUCGGAAUUACUGGGUGUAAAGGGUUCGUAGGCGGUGUGGCAAGUCGGGAGUGAAAUUUCUGGGCUCAACUCAGAGACUGCUUCCGAAACUGCUGUGCUGGAGUGUGGGAGAGGCGCGUGGAAUUGCAGGUGUAGCGGUGAAAUGCGUAGAUAUCUGCAGGAACACCCGUGGCGAAAGCGGCGCGCUGGACCACUACUGACGCUGAGUAACGAAAGCUAGGGGAGCAAACAGG